RNAcentral lists this ribosomal RNA (499 nucleotides) under uncultured bacterium. RNAcentral describes it as "partial 16S ribosomal RNA". It matches the Rfam family "Bacterial small subunit ribosomal RNA", at positions 28 to 507 of the family's 1533-position model. The record is from RNAcentral.
GACGAACGCUGGCGGCGUGCCUAAUACAUGCAAGUCGAGCGAAGUUUUUCUGGUGCUUGCACUAGAAAAACUUAGCGGCGAACGGGUGAGUAACACGUAAAGAACCUGCCUCAUAGACUGGGACAACUAUUGGAAACGAUAGCUAAUACCGGAUAACAGUAUUUCUCGCAUGAGAGAUAUUUAAAAGUUGGUUAUGCUAACACUAUGAGAUGGCUUUGCGGUGCAUUAGCUAGUUGGUGGGGUAAAGGCCCACCAAGGCGACGAUGCAUAGCCGACCUGAGAGGGUGAUCGGCCACACUGGGACUGAGACACGGCCCAGACUCCUACGGGAGGCAGCAGUAGGGAAUCUUCCGCAAUGGGCGAAAGCCUGACGGAGCAACGCCGCGUGAGUGAAGAAGGAUUUCGGUUCGUAAAGCUCUGUUGUUAGGGAAGGAUGGAUAUGUAGUAACUAUACAUGUAAGAGACGGUACCUAACCAGAAAGCCACGGCUAACUACGUG